GUAUAAAAAAUAUUUCACUGGUCUUUAUUUACAGGGUCACACAUUAUUGAGAAACCUAAAUCCCCAAAUUCGUUCUAUUGCUUUCAAAGCAUUAAGAGUGGAGUUUCCUCGUCGAUCUUCUUCUUCUCCUUUAUCAGACACCAUGCCUCAACAAGAUUUCCAAAGUAGAUCUUCAACUCUGUAGUGGCAGCAAUUGAUUAUCUUUCUUUGGCUUCUUCGAUUUCUCUAUUCGAAACCUCAAUCGUGGUCUAUCUUUGAUUUUAGGUUGAGAAUUCUCACUUCAAAAGAUAUUGAGUUUGCAUUUUGUAUAAAAGAUAGAAGAAGGAAGAAAGUAUUGGCUUCGAUAUGAUCAGGAAGGAAGGAGGUAGCUUCCAUGGCAUGAAACAAGCAGUGUUGGUGGUGUUAGAUUGUAAUUUCGUUCGUUAUAAUAGUAUUCGCGGUUGGUUUACACUUUUGUUUUGUUUAUUUAGUUUACAAGCAAUGUUUGAGUGUUCUUCUUCUUUAAAUGCUAGAUUUCUUUACUCUGAAAUACAUUCUCUAUGUCCAUGUGCAGGAGGUACUUGUUGUAAUUUUAUGUCUUAAUUUCAGUUGCUGAUUACUUUCAACAGAAGUAUAGAAUCAGAUUGAGAUAUGUGACAUGGCCUGCUCUACAAGCAGGAAGUGCAAACAAGCUUAUUUACUGAUUACGUGUUGGUUGCUCAACUUUUUAUAAUUAUUUAGGUGAUUUUGUCCUAGAAAUUAAUAAAUAUCAGUUAGCCUUAUUUCUGUACCAUUCUAUCUUUACAAAAGCAUAAGAUCAAGCAUUAUUUUGGGAUCGAUAAUGCCUGACUCUUUUUCUGAUGCGUUGGAUCCAGCUCAUCAUGGUGUACUUCAUAGUGCUGCACCAGCAGAGUUAAAAGGACCUGGAAAAGUUGAAGCCUGUAAUUUGAAUUGGUGAUCUAAACUGCGCUCAUCAAGAAAUAGACAUAUUUAACCUUGCAAGCAGAUAAUGUGAAAAAUGAUGUGAUAUCCAUUUCUUUGCAUGGACUAAUAUCAGUGGUGUGAAAGUUAUAUAAAGAACAAGGGAAUUAGAGGAACAACAAGCCAAAAGGUGAGGCCAGGGCAAUAGAGUUUUUGGGCAGAAAGUUAGAAGGAAAAUUCGAGGGGAAGCUCUUGAAUCAACUACCCAUUGUACUGUGUCGUUCUCAAGAUUGACAUUUCCUACUACUUUAUAGAGGAAUUUCAAAUCUGUUUGUAGUUUUCCUGCUCAGUUCUUAUUGGAAUAUAUUCUCAAUAAACGAAGGCAAACAAUCUAGCAAUAUUAAAAUCAUAUAUUGUUAGCUACUUUAUCGGUUGUUAUUGGAAUUUCAAAUCGGUUUGUAGUUUUCUUGCUCGGUUCUUAUUGGAAUAUAUUCUCAAUAAAUAAAGGCAAACAAUGUAUAAAUGUUAAAAUCAUAUAUUGUUAUGAUUUAUUAUAAAUUAUUUCUUUACA
Cannabis sativa is the source of this 1471-nucleotide long non-coding RNA. RefSeq lists it as uncharacterized. The record is from RefSeq and is a predicted model, not a curated record. Lineage: Eukaryota; Viridiplantae; Streptophyta; Magnoliopsida; Rosales; Cannabaceae. The transcript is spliced from 6 exons.